CUGGACAUUGAUCAACCUACUGACCCGCUGCAACAAGACAUCCCUCCAGGGAGGGAGGUUCUUCAUGAAGAGCAAUGUAAGAGAAUCAGUCCGGUUGCUGCUGCUACUGAAGGGGGCUUGUUCAAGAGAUCAACCGAACUUUAGCACAGAAGGAACAGCCGGCAGAUGACUUGGAGCUCCACUUGGACACUGAAGGUGUCAACCAGAUUUACAGUUCAGUUGCAACAGGUAGCUGAGCCAAAGACUGACGAGGCAGUCAUUCCUCCUGCUCUACCUAUCCACUCCCAUUCGAUAGAUGCCCCACCUAUUCAAAUCCACUCCGGUGGUUGACGCCGGCAUCAGGCUCCCUCCAUCUUUGCUUUAUUCAAAUCCAAAGCGCAAGUACAUCUCUCCUC
RNAcentral lists this long non-coding RNA (395 nucleotides) under Hordeum vulgare. Its description in RNAcentral is "long non-coding RNA (HVUL_LNC011394)". Lineage: Eukaryota; Viridiplantae; Streptophyta; Magnoliopsida; Poales; Poaceae. The record is from RNAcentral.